Molecule: ribosomal RNA, 387 nt
Filed under: uncultured bacterium
Lineage: Bacteria
Description: bacterial SSU rRNA
Rfam family: Bacterial small subunit ribosomal RNA
Source: RNAcentral
GACGAACGCUGGCGGCGUGCUUAACACAUGCAAGUCGAACGGUGAAGCCCCUUCGGGGGUGGAUCAGUGGCGAACGGGUGAGUAACACGUGGGCAACCUGCCCCUGGCUUUGGGAUAACUCCGGGAAACCGGGGCUAAUACCGGAUAUGACUACCUUCCGCAUGGUGGGUGGUGGAAAGGUUUUUCCGGCCAGGGAUGGGCCCGCGGCCUAUCAGCUUGUUGGUGGGGUGAUGGCCUACCAAGGCGACGACGGGUAGCCGGCCUGAGAGGGCGACCGGCCACACUGGGACUGAGACACGGCCCAGACUCCUACGGGAGGCAGCAGUGGGGAAUAUUGCGCAAUGGGCGAAAGCCUGACGCAGCGACGCCGCGUGGGGGAUGAAGGCC